CCUACGGGUGGCAGCAGUGGGGAAUAUUGGACAAUGGGCGAAAGCCUGAUCCAGCCAUGCCGCGUGUGUGAAGAAGGCCUUCGGGUUGUAAAGCACUUUCAGUGGGGAAGAAAGCCUUGGGGCUAAUACCCUCGAGGAAGGACAUCACCCACAGAAGAAGCACCGGCUAACUCCGUGCCAGCAGCCGCGGUAAUACGGAGGGUGCGAGCGUUAAUCGGAAUUACUGAGCGUAAAGCGCGCGUAGGCGGUCUGAUAAGCCGGUUGUGAAAGCCCCGGGCUCAACCUGGGAACGGCAUCCGGAACUGGCAGGCUAGAGUGCAGGAGAGGAAGGUAGAAUUCCCGGUGUAGCGGUGAAAUGCGUAGAGAUCGGGAGGAAUACCAGUGGCGAAGGCGGCCUUCUGGACUGACACUGACGCUGAGGUGCGAAAGCGUGGGUAGCAAACAGGAUUAGAUACCCCAGUAGUC
Molecule: ribosomal RNA, 465 nt
Filed under: Vreelandella stevensii
Lineage: Bacteria; Pseudomonadati; Pseudomonadota; Gammaproteobacteria; Oceanospirillales; Halomonadaceae
Description: partial 16S ribosomal RNA
Rfam family: Bacterial small subunit ribosomal RNA
Source: RNAcentral